Molecule: ribosomal RNA, 754 nt
Filed under: uncultured bacterium
Lineage: Bacteria
Description: bacterial SSU rRNA
Rfam family: Bacterial small subunit ribosomal RNA
Source: RNAcentral
CGUGGGCACUUGCCCUUUGGUUCGGAACAACUCAGGGAAACUUGAGCUAACACCGGAUGUGCCCUUCGGGGGAAAGAUUUAUCGCCAUUGGAGCGGCCCGCGUCUGAUUAGCUAGUUGGUGAGGUAAAGGCUCACCAAGGCGACGAUCAGUAGCUGGUCUGAGAGGAUGAUCAGCCACAUUGGGACUGAGACACGGCCCAAACUCCUACGGGAGGCAGCAGUGGGGAAUCUUGCGCAAUGGGCGAAAGCCUGACGCAGCCAUGCCGCGUGAAUGAUGAAGGUCUUAGGAUUGUAAAAUUCUUUCACCGGGGACGAUAAUGACGGUACCCGGAGAAGAAGCCCCGGCUAACUUCGUGCCAGCAGCCGCGGUAAUACGAAGGGGGCUAGCGUUGCUCGGAAUUACUGGGCGUAAAGGGAGCGUAGGCGGACUGUUUAGUCAGAGGUGAAAGCCCAGGGCUCAACCUUGGAAUUGCCUUUGAUACUGGCAGUCUUGAGUACGGAAGAGGUAUGUGGAACUCCGAGUGUAGAGGUGAAAUUCGUAGAUAUUCGGAAGAACACCAGUGGCGAAGGCGACAUACUGGUCCGUUACUGACGCUGAGGCUCGAAAGCGUGGGGAGCAAACAGGAUUAGAUACCCUGGUAGUCCACGCUGUAAACGAUGAGUGCUAGUUGUCGGCAGGCAUGCCUGUCGGUGACGCACCUAACGCAUUAAGCACUUCCGCCUGGGGAGUACGGUCGCAAGAAUAAAACUCAAA